RNAcentral lists this signal recognition particle RNA (305 nucleotides) under Helianthus annuus (common sunflower). RNAcentral's name for it is "sRNA HanXRQr2_Chr09g0397761". It matches the Rfam family "Plant signal recognition particle RNA". Lineage: Eukaryota; Viridiplantae; Streptophyta; Magnoliopsida; Asterales; Asteraceae. The record is from Rfam by way of RNAcentral.
ACUGGGCUUGAUAAUGCUUGUCUGUAACUCGAGUGAGGGUAUUAAAGAUAGUUGAACGGUUAACAAUUCCAGUUUGGUUGGUCCGGCCGGUGCGUUAACUGGCUUGACCGUUCCAAGUUGCGAGUUGCGAGUUGGGUCAUGUGGCUUGAGCGAGAGCUUGGGUCACGUGGUCCCUAGAGUAGGUGACAAUGCGUAAGACUGGUUUCACAGAGCUGCGAAAACCCCUCAUUCUCAUUCGUGGCAGGGGCUCUGUAUGGACCAUAUAACCUAACCUCCUGGAAUGUCUCAAUCUAACAAUAAUCUUU